Molecule: ribosomal RNA, 1059 nt
Filed under: uncultured Cryobacterium sp.
Lineage: Bacteria; Bacillati; Actinomycetota; Actinomycetes; Micrococcales; Microbacteriaceae
Description: bacterial SSU rRNA
Rfam family: Bacterial small subunit ribosomal RNA
Source: RNAcentral
UCCUACGGGAGGCAGCAGUGGGGAAUAUUGCACAAUGGGCGCAAGCCUGAUGCAGCAACGCCGCGUGAGGGACGAAGGCCUUCGGGUUGUAAACCUCUUUUAGUAGGGAAGAAGCGACUGGGUUUUCCUGGGAGUGACGGUACCUGCAGAAAAAGCACCGGCCAACUACGUGCCAGCAGCCGCGGUAAUACGUAGGGUGCAAGCGUUGUCCGGAAUUAUUGGGCGUAAAGAGCUCGUAGGCGGUUUGUCGCGUCUGCUGUGAGAACCCGAGGCUCAACCUCGGGCCUGCAGUGGGUACGGGCAGACUAGAGUGCGGUGGGGGAGAUUGGAAUUCCUGGUGUAGCGGUGGAAUGCGCAGAUAUCAGGAGGAACACCAAUGGCGAAGGCAGAUCUCUGGGCCGUAGCUGACGCUGAGGAGCGAAAGCAUGGGGAGCGAACAGGAUUAGAUACCCUGGUAGUCCAUGCCGUAAACGUUGGGAACUAGAUGUGGGGACCAUUCCACGGUCUCCGUGUCGCAGCUAACGCAUUAAGUUCCCCGCCUGGGGAGUACGGCCGCAAGGCUAAAACUCAAAGGAAUUGACGGGGGCCCGCACAAGCGGCGGAGCAUGCGGAUUAAUUCGAUGCAACGCGAAGAACCUUACCAAGGCUUGACAUAUACCGGAAACGGCUGGAAACAGUCACCCCGCAAGGUCGGUAUACAGGUGGUGCAUGGUCGUCGUCAGCUCGUGUCGUGAGAUGUUGGGUUAAGUCCCGCAACGAGCGCAACCCUCGUCCUAUGUUGCCAGCACGUAAUGGUGGGAACUCAUGGGAUACUGCCGGGGUCAACUCGGAGGAAGGUGGGGAUGACGUCAAAUCAUCAUGCCCCUUAUGUCUUGGGCUUCACGCAUGCUACAAUGGCCGGUACAAAGGGCUGCGAUACCGCAAGGUGGAGCGAACCCCAAAAAGCCGGUCUCAGUUCGGAUUGAGGUCUGCAACUCGACCUCAUGAAGUCGGAGUCGCUAGUAAUCGCAGAUCAGCAACGCUGCGGUGAAUACGUUCCCGGGCCUUGUACACACCGCC